AGCAGCCGCGGUAAUUCCAGCUCCAAUAGCGUAUAUUAAAGUUGUUGCAGUUAAAAAGCUCGUAGUUGAAUUUCGGGGUCAAUACGUCGGUCGUGCCUCGGUACGCACUAACGUUAUUGAUUCCUCCCUUCUGACGAACCGUGAUGUCAUUAAUUUGGUGUUGUGGGGAAUCAGGACUGUUACCUUGAAAAAAUUAGAGUGUUUAAAGCAGGCAAUCGCUCGAAUACAUUAGCAUGGAAUAAUGAAAUAGGACGUUCGAACCUAUUUUGUUGGUUUCUAGGAUCAACGUAAUGAUUAAUAGGGAUAGUUGGGGGCAUUAGUAUUCAAUUGUCAGAGGUGAAAUUCUUGGAUUUAUUGAAGACUAACUACUGCGAAAGCAUUUGCCAAGGAUGUUUUCAUUAAUCAAGAACGAAAGUUAGGGGAUCGAAGACGAUCAGAUACCGUCGUAGUCUUAACCAUAAACUAUGCCGACUAGGGAUCGGAUGAUGUUAAUUUUUUAAUGACUCAUUCGGCGCCUUACG
This 521-nucleotide ribosomal RNA is filed under the name uncultured Glomeraceae. RNAcentral's name for it is "SSU rRNA". It matches the Rfam family "Eukaryotic small subunit ribosomal RNA", at positions 569 to 1092 of the family's 1831-position model. The record is from RNAcentral. Lineage: Eukaryota; Fungi; Glomeromycota; Glomeromycetes; Glomerales; Glomeraceae.